This 348-nucleotide unclassified non-coding RNA is filed under the name soil metagenome. RNAcentral describes it as "partial contains 5.8S ribosomal RNA, internal transcribed spacer 2, and large subunit ribosomal RNA". The stretch from base 1 to 120 matches the Rfam family "5.8S ribosomal RNA", at positions 35 to 154 of the family's 154-position model. The record is from RNAcentral.
GAUGAAGAACGUAGCGAAAUGCGAUACGUAGUGUGAAUUGCAGAAUUCAGUGAAUCAUCGAAUCUUUGAACGCACAUUGCGCCCGCCAGUAUUCUGGCGGGCAUGCCUGUCUGAGCGUCAUUUCAACCCUCAUGCCCCUAGGGCGUGGUGUUGGGGAUCGGCCAAAGCCCGCGAGGGACGGCCGGCCCCUAAAUCUAGUGGCGGACCCGUCGUGGCCUCCUCUGCGAAGUAGUGAUAUUCCGCAUCGGAGAGCGACGAGCCCCUGCCGUUAAACCCCCAACUUUCCAAGGUUGACCUCAGAUCAGGUAGGAAUACCCGCUGAACUUAAGCAUAUCAAUAAGCGGAGGA